RNAcentral lists this long non-coding RNA (2028 nucleotides) under Homo sapiens (human). RNAcentral describes it as "non-protein coding lnc-THAP6-3:1". Lineage: Eukaryota; Metazoa; Chordata; Mammalia; Primates; Hominidae. The record is from RNAcentral.
GAAACUUGACCCCGGCUCAUCCUGUCUCUGGCUGUGGCCCGGCAAAGCACUGAAAACCCCUCUGGUCUCAGAGACAGUAGGGGCAGUGCCACUUUCUACAACCUGCCAACCCACACACUGGAGUAAUUCUGAAAAAAAUUAUUCCUAAACUCUCUAAGUGUGGACGGAGAAUGAGCAAGCCCCAGAAGUAUUUUACAACCAGAGUGGGUAAUGAGGAGGGGGCUUACUGGAAUCGUCAUAUCUCUGAAUAUUGAAAACAACAACUAAAAAAGUGGACCUUCUCAGAAAAAAAGGGCAGCAAAUGACCAAGGGCGCCCCUUCUGGCCGUGCUUGGCUUGAGUAACUGUCUCUCUUUCCCCACCCCCAUCACAGGGCUUUCAGUUUGGCAAAGGAAAAGCAGAUAAAAACAGAACAUUCCAUAUGUUUCUUUCUCCAUCGGCCAAAAACAUUUUGACACAAUGUUUGUGAAACACCUUUGGAGAGGUGCACUUCUGAAUGCUGCCUCUGCCGUAAAUCCUGGGGCAAGGGAUCAGCCUCUUCCCAGGAACCAUCGCCUUCUAUAAACCGUGAACUCAAGCAGGCAUUUUUUUUUUCUUACCGAAAGGCUGCUAUUGUGCAAGGGCACAUAAUGGGUCUGUUGCUCUUAUUGGCUUCCAAAUGUGCAUGGCAAAGAGAGAGAUGUGGGCCUAGAGCAGAUAUAUUCAGCAAGGUGACAGCUUCCCAUAACAAUUCUAACACUUCUUAUCUUAUGUGAGAAUAAAAUAUUUAAGGGUUGAACCUUAUUUUGCCAAAUGUAUCUUUUCUGCUUUUGAAUUGGGCAGAAGAUUUUAGCAACUAUAUUCUACAAAUGUUACUUAUAACACACACACACACAUCUGAAAUAUAUGCCGAAAAUUGACGUCUUUGACCUCAGGGAGAGCACCUGUCCAGGUCUGCCUAAAGGAAAUGGCUCCAGUGGGUCUAAACAACCACAUCCUAUCCAUGGAUAGGUCUAGUCAUAACACUUUAGAGAGAAUGUCAGAGCAGGAGGGAGGCAAGCCGCCUCUUCUCGGCCAUCGACUGCAGAUGAUGAAAGAGCGGGAUUCAACUUUGUUUUCUUUUCCUGUGGCCCCAGUGAAACCUCCUGCCCUCCCUGCACGUCUGUGUCUUCAUUUCUAAAAUGGGGGUGAUGCUUUCAUAUUGACCUCACCCCAUACUACCUCACAGAUGUGUUGUGAGGAUUAAUAAAAUUAUGUCUAUGGUAUUUUCAGUUUCUGGAGAAAAAUACUUAUAGACAGUUUAACUAUUACAUAGAUAUAUAAGUGAUCUCAGUUUCUUGUUUGCUGUGAUACUAAUGUGUUGUUUUAACUUAUUCCAUAAAAUGACAGUUGUGUCCUAGCCACAUCAGACAGCUAUCUAAGCUCUGGACUACCCCUUUGUGCAGCUGAAUCACUGCAGGGUUGACCAUGCCUGGUGCCACAGCCAUGGUUUCCAUUUCUAGAUGAAAGGAUGGCCUAGGACAUAGGUCUCAAAGACUCUUGGAUCAGAAUCAGGAGAUUAGGGAAAACAGGAUGGAUACCUGAGCACUAACAGCAGUAGACGUAGACCUCUGUCCUUUACCAUCUGAGGUCUUCUGGAUUCUUUGUGGGGUUAAUUUUGAUUUGAUGUCAUCUGUUUGCCCUUCAUCUUGCUUGCAAGUGUGCAUGGUUCAAUCCCUCACAUCCAGGAAAUGAAUUUUGCAAUUGGGCCAGAUGCUAAUUUGCACGUUGAUUCACCUUCUUUGCCUUUAAGCCUUUUUUUUCUUUUUUUUUUUUUUGGCAAAUGAAUGUACCAUUUCAACUUUGAUUUUAAUAGUGCUAGUUGAUAUUGGUAAUAAUGCUAACCAAGAGAUCAAUGCCAGAUUUUUCUCUUGGGGUAAGUUAGCUGAAGUCAUUUAAAGAUGGAAAGGUGGGAAAAUUCUUUGAUAUUUGAUGUCAUUGUAUCCACAUUUGUUGUAAGACAUAUUGCAUACCAAUUAUAAUUAUAUCAAUUAAAGUUGAUAAAAGCUUC